This 900-nucleotide ribosomal RNA is filed under the name Clostridioides difficile. RNAcentral describes it as "partial 23S ribosomal RNA". It matches the Rfam family "Bacterial large subunit ribosomal RNA", at positions 1805 to 2703 of the family's 2925-position model. The record is from RNAcentral. Lineage: Bacteria; Bacillati; Bacillota; Clostridia; Peptostreptococcales; Peptostreptococcaceae.
UACCAAAAACAUAGGUUUCUGCUAAGUCGCAAGACGAUGUAUAGGAGCUGACGCCUGCCCGGUGCUGGAAGGUUAAGGGGAUCUGUUAGAGUAAUCGAAGCAGUGAACUUAAGCCCCAGUAAACGGCGGCCGUAACUAUAACGGUCCUAAGGUAGCGAAAUUCCUUGUCGGGUAAGUUCCGACCCGCACGAAAGGCGUAACGAUUUGGGCACUGUCUCAACAACAGACUCGGUGAAAUUGUAAUUCCGGUGAAGAUGCCGGAUACCUGCGACAGGACGGAAAGACCCCAUGGAGCUUUACUGUAGCUUGACAUUGGGUCUUGGUACUACAUGUACAGGAUAGGUGGGAGGCUUUGAAACCAGGACGCCAGUUUUGGCGGAGCCAUCCUUGGGAUACCACCCUUGUAGUACUGGGACUCUAACCAUAGGCCAUGAAUCUGGUCUUGGGACACUGUCAGGUGGGCAGUUUGACUGGGGCGGUCGCCUCCCAAAAGGUAACGGAGGCGCUCAAAGGUUCUCUCAGUACGGUCGGAAAUCGUACGUAGAGUGUAAAGGCAAAAGAGAGCUUGAUUGCAAGACAUACAGGUCGAGCAAGGAUGAAAAUCGGACUUAGUGAUCCGGUGGUUCUGCGUGGAAGGGCCAUCGCUCAACGGAUAAAAGCUACCCUGGGGAUAACAGGCUUAUCUCCCCCAAGAGUCCACAUCGACGGGGAGGUUUGGCACCUCGAUGUCGGCUCAUCACAUCCUGGGGCUGUAGUAGGUCCCAAGGGUUGGGCUGUUCGCCCAUUAAAGUGGUACGCGAGCUGGGUUCAGAACGUCGUGAGACAGUUCGGUCCCUAUCCGUCGCAGGCGUAGGAAAUUUGAGAAGACCUGUCCUUAGUACGAGAGGACCGGGAUGGACG